GUGGGGAAUAUUGGACAAUGGACGCAAGUCUGAUCCAGCCAUGCCGCGUGAAGGAUUAAGGUCCUCUGGAUUGUAAACUUCUUUUAUAAGGGACGAAAAAAGGCUUUUCUAAGUCGUCUGACGGUACCUUAUGAAUAAGCACCGGCUAACUUCGUGCCAGCAGCCGCGGUAAUACGGAGGGUGCAAGCGUUAUCCGGAUUCACUGGGUUUAAAGGGUGCGUAGGCGGGCAGGUAAGUCAGUGGUGAAAUCCUAGAGCUUAACUCUAGAACUGCCAUUGAUACUAUCUGUCUUGAAUAUUGUGGAGGUAAGCGGAAUAUGUCAUGUAGCGGUGAAAUGCUUAGAUAUGACAUAGAACACCUAUUGCGAAGGCAGCUUACUACGCAUAUAUUGACGCUGAGGCACGAAAGCGUGGGGAUCAAACAGGAUUAGAAACCCUUGUAGUCC
This 445-nucleotide ribosomal RNA is filed under the name uncultured bacterium. Its description in RNAcentral is "partial 16S ribosomal RNA". It matches the Rfam family "Bacterial small subunit ribosomal RNA", at positions 354 to 796 of the family's 1533-position model. The record is from RNAcentral.